GUUUAAAUAGCUUAAUAUAGAGCAUAAUAUUGAAGAUAUUAAGGUGAUUUUAGAAUCUUUAAAUA
RNAcentral lists this transfer RNA (65 nucleotides) under Osmylus atomatus. RNAcentral's name for it is "tRNA-Phe". Lineage: Eukaryota; Metazoa; Arthropoda; Insecta; Neuroptera; Osmylidae. The record is from RNAcentral.